GAUGAACGCUAGCUACAGGCUUAACACAUGCAAGUCGCGGGGCAGCAUGGGGGUUGCUUGCAAUCCCCGAUGGCGACCGGCGCACGGGUGAGUAACGCGUAUCCAACCUGCCCUUCACCACGGGAUAACCCGGCGAAAGUCGGACUAAUACCGUAUGUUGUCCAUUGACGGCAUCCGAUUUGGACGAAAGGCUUGGCGGUGAGGGAGGGGGAUGCGUCCGAUUAGCCAGACGGCGGGGUAACGGCCCACCGUGGCUCCGAUCGGUAGGGGUUCUGAGAGGAAGGUCCCCCACACUGGAACUGAGACGCGGUCCAGACUGCUACGGGAGGCAGCAGUGAGGAAUAUUGAUCAAUGGGCGUAAGCCAGAACCAGCCAAGUAGCGUGCAGGAUGACGGCCCUAUGGGUUGUAAACUGCUUUUAUGCGGGGAUAAAGUGGCCCACGUGUGGGCUUUUGCAGGUACCGCAUGAAUAAGGACCGGCUAAUUCCGUG
This 490-nucleotide ribosomal RNA is filed under the name uncultured bacterium. Its description in RNAcentral is "partial 16S ribosomal RNA". It matches the Rfam family "Bacterial small subunit ribosomal RNA", at positions 28 to 507 of the family's 1533-position model. The record is from RNAcentral.